RNAcentral lists this ribosomal RNA (253 nucleotides) under uncultured bacterium. RNAcentral's name for it is "partial 16S ribosomal RNA". It matches the Rfam family "Bacterial small subunit ribosomal RNA", at positions 524 to 776 of the family's 1533-position model. The record is from RNAcentral.
GACAGAGGGUGCAAACGUUGUUCGGAAUUACUGGGCGUAAAGCGCGUGUAGGCGGUUCGGAAAGUCGGAUGUGAAAGCCCUGGGCUCAACCCAGGAAGUGCAUUCGAAACUCCCGAACUCGAGUCCUGGAGAGGAAGGCGGAAUUCUCGGUGUAGAGGUGAAAUUCGUAGAUAUCGAGAGGAACAUCGGUGGCGAAGGCGGCCUUCUGGACAGCGACUGACGCUGAGACGCGAAAGCGUGGGGAGCAAACAGG